GUCUAUGGCCAUACCACCCCGAACGCACCUGAUCUCGUCUGCUCUUGGAAGCUAAGCAGGGUCCAGGCCUGGUUAAUACUUGGAUGGGAGACACCAUAUUUA
Molecule: ribosomal RNA, 102 nt
Filed under: Propithecus coquereli (Coquerel's sifaka)
Lineage: Eukaryota; Metazoa; Chordata; Mammalia; Primates; Indriidae
Source: RNAcentral